AGGUGAAUUUAAAAGGCAGACAACUCUCAGCAAUCCCUGGGCCAACAAGCAUUUUCUAAGGUGCUGCUACUCCACAGACUUUCAUUUCACUACUUUGUACCCCUCUUGACCUUGGACUGGCAAAUCGGAUGGCAUCCUUCAUCUGCUCCUUUUGGCAUGUCACAUUCAGAUCCCCUUCAAUUAUGGGCUGAAUUCUGGCAAAGGAUUAUACUUGGUUAAAUAACAAAAACAAAGGAACAAUUAACCAUCUCCAACAAUGACAGAAAAACAAUAUUCCAUCAUCAUCACAUAAUACAAUUU
Molecule: long non-coding RNA, 300 nt
Filed under: Monodelphis domestica (gray short-tailed opossum)
Lineage: Eukaryota; Metazoa; Chordata; Mammalia; Didelphimorphia; Didelphidae
Description: lncRNA (ENSMODG00000045974.1)
Source: RNAcentral